AGAAUGAACGCUGGCGGCGUGCUUUACACAUGCAAGUUGAGCGAGGCCGGUAGCAAUACCGAGUCGAGCGGCGAACGGGUGAGUAACGCGUGGAUAACCUGCCCUGAAGUGGGGAAUAACCCGGGGAAACUCGGGCUAAUACCGCAUGAAACCGAGAGGUCAAAGAGGGCUCGCAAGGGCUCUUGCUACAGGAGGGGUCCGCGUUCGAUUAGCUGGUUGGUAGGGUAAUGGCCUACCAAGGCGACGAUCGAUA
This 253-nucleotide ribosomal RNA is filed under the name uncultured soil bacterium. Its description in RNAcentral is "partial 16S ribosomal RNA". It matches the Rfam family "Bacterial small subunit ribosomal RNA", at positions 26 to 285 of the family's 1533-position model. The record is from RNAcentral.